ACGCCUAGCUUAUAUACGAUGCUCUAAUUAAUAGGUACAGCUCAAUCGGAAAUUAUUGUUUUAUAAAUUACUAGCUUUCCGCCAGCGGCUUCGUCUGCGUAGUCAAGGAAAAACCCCCAUAGUUCCCGUUCCCGUCGGAUUUCCGGGAUAAAACCUAUCCUUUGCUUUCCUCAAGUCUUAUCUCUCUACCAAAUGUGGAAUAAAUCCGUGCAGUGCUUUUUGCGUUUAGCCCGGACAUGCAUACAGACAAAAAUUCUAAAAACUAUAUUUUUGGCUCCGGUAGGCUAAGAAUAACUAAACGGCGUUCAAAUAAAUAUUCAAUGUUGUGACCGAUUUCUCGCAGACGGCAAACUGCGCGACUUCUGACCAUGUUUUUCGCGCCAAUCCGCUUCCAAUUUUGCAUAUACGCCACCUAUAAAGUAAUUAUUUUAAUUAUAAAAUUAUAUAAAAUUCACGUUACUUAGUUUGGGACCCACUGUCGUACAUUUAUUGUAAAACAUAAAAUGGACAAAUAAAUUUAUUUCAUUUCA
Molecule: long non-coding RNA, 530 nt
Organism: Colias croceus (clouded yellow)
Lineage: Eukaryota; Metazoa; Arthropoda; Insecta; Lepidoptera; Pieridae
Exons: 2
Source: RefSeq, a predicted model, not a curated record